This 422-nucleotide ribosomal RNA is filed under the name uncultured cyanobacterium. RNAcentral describes it as "bacterial SSU rRNA". It matches the Rfam family "Bacterial small subunit ribosomal RNA", at positions 358 to 795 of the family's 1533-position model. Lineage: Bacteria; Bacillati; Cyanobacteriota. The record is from RNAcentral.
GGAAUUUUCCGCAAUGGGCGAAAGCCUGACGGAGCAACGCCGCGUGAGGGAUGAAGGCCUCUGGGCUGUAAACCUCUUUUAUCAAGGAAGAAGAUCUGACGGUACUUGAUGAAUAAGCCACGGCUAAUUCCGUGCCAGCAGCCGCGGUAAUACGGGAGUGGCAAGCGUUAUCCGGAAUUAUUGGGCGUAAAGCGUCCGCAGGCGGUCUGUCAAGUCUGCUGUUAAAGCGUGGAGCUUAACUCCAUUUCGGCAGUGGAAACUGACAGACUAGAGUGUGGUAGGGGCAGAGGGAAUUCCCGGUGUAGCGGUGAAAUGCGUAGAUAUCGGGAAGAACACCAGUGGCGAAGGCGCUCUGCUGGGCCAUAACUGACGCUCAUGGACGAAGGCCAGGGGAGCGAAAGGGAUUAGAUACCCCAGUAGUC